CAGUCGCCGCGGUAAUACGAAGGGUGCAAGCGUUACUCGGAAUUACUGGGCGUAAAGCGUGCGUAGGCGGUUUGUUAGGUCUGCUGUGAAAUCCCCGGGCUCAACCUGGGAAUGGCAGUGGAUACUGGCAAGCUAGAGUGUGUCAGAGGAUGGUGGAAUUCCCGGUGUAGCGGUGAAAUGCGUAGAGAUCGGGAGGAACAUCAGUGGCGAAGGCGGCCAUCUGGGACAACACUGACGCUGAGGCACGAAAGCGUGGGGAGCAAACAGGAUUAGAUACCCCCGUAGUCCCUGUCUCUUAUCC
This 301-nucleotide ribosomal RNA is filed under the name uncultured bacterium. RNAcentral's name for it is "partial 16S ribosomal RNA". It matches the Rfam family "Bacterial small subunit ribosomal RNA", at positions 509 to 809 of the family's 1533-position model. The record is from RNAcentral.